UUCCCUUUUUGUGAGCAGGAGCAGACUCAGUGCAGCUGCUGAGGGCAAAUGCGAUCGCAGCGCGGGCUGCAGCUGUCCUGUUAAGAGCUGCGACGUGUGCCACAUUUUUGCAAGUUGAGGCCAUUUCUAACUUACAAGAAGUGCCGAAAAAAACCAUUUUUUAGCUCCCUCGGCUCUAGGACACCGCCCCGGUGGAAACUCAUCUUAUUUGCCACCAGCUCCCGCAUCGCCCGGUCCCCAGAAAAUCCAGCUGUCCACGUGCAGGACAAAAGGCCGAGCUACAUGGCAGAGACUCCAUCAUCAGCUGGAAGUGGUAUUCAUCUUCGAGGCAUCCCUGGCCCGGUCUGCACUGGUCUGGCCCAAAGGUGGGAGCAGGAAGGGAUGCAGCCCAUUCAUAAAUGAAUCACGCACAUCUGAAUGGAGCUGGCAGGGGGAAGCGAUUUACAUAAGCUCGUGUCAUCGGGCGAGCAUGCGCGCUACCCAAGUCCUGAUGCGCACGGUAAGCGGAAGCUGACCCUGGACAGCUCUCAUUUCCAUAGCACCCUUGGGACCUACUCAUUUACUGCAGCAUCCCCUAAUCAUCAUAGCCCCAUGAUCGUUACACAAGUGCAAACGCUCCCGGAGACAUGUGCUGAUUAGUCUCACUAGCGGCACCGAGCCCCCGUUCUUUCACCAUCGUGGUGACCUGACAGAUGUGCGUAUCGCUGAAACCAGGGCUUUGCUUUGCACAACGUCAAUCAAUAAAGUGGAAAUACAGCCGUUAACACCACUUACAGU
Alligator sinensis (Chinese alligator) is the source of this 777-nucleotide long non-coding RNA. RefSeq lists it as uncharacterized. The transcript is spliced from 3 exons. Lineage: Eukaryota; Metazoa; Chordata; Crocodylia; Alligatoridae. The record is from RefSeq and is a predicted model, not a curated record.